CAAUGACUCUCGGUAAUGGAUAUCUCGGCUCUUGCAUCRAUGAAGAACGUAAUGAACURCGAUACUUGGUGUGAAUUGCAGAAUCUCGUGAACCAUUGAGUCUUUGAACGCAAGUUGUGCCSGACGCCUUCUGGCGGAGGACACGCCUCCUUGGGAGUCAUGA
RNAcentral lists this ribosomal RNA (163 nucleotides) under Kaempferia galanga. Its description in RNAcentral is "5.8S ribosomal RNA". It matches the Rfam family "5.8S ribosomal RNA". From Rfam's summary of the family: 5.8S ribosomal RNA (5.8S rRNA) is a component of the large subunit of the eukaryotic ribosome. It is transcribed by RNA polymerase I as part of the 45S precursor that also contains 18S and 28S rRNA. Functionally, it is thought that 5.8S rRNA may be involved in ribosome translocation. The record is from RNAcentral. Lineage: Eukaryota; Viridiplantae; Streptophyta; Magnoliopsida; Zingiberales; Zingiberaceae.